RNAcentral lists this long non-coding RNA (1123 nucleotides) under Anser brachyrhynchus (Pink-footed goose). RNAcentral's name for it is "lncRNA (ENSABRG00000018234.1)". The record is from RNAcentral. Lineage: Eukaryota; Metazoa; Chordata; Aves; Anseriformes; Anatidae.
AUCCUUGCCAUGAGAACACUCAAGAUUUCUUAUUUAGAGAACAGACAAAAAUGAAGGACUGAAAACUAAAGAAAAACAGAAGCACAGAUUUCUUUAUACCUUAUUUGAGUGAAUGUGUGUGGUUCUUUGAUCAUAUCAAAAGAAAACUGUUGAUGACAUGCUGAAAAAAUAAAACAACAUAACAUAUGGCAGAAAGCAUAUCAGCAUAGUACUUCUGUUUUUACACCACUUUCUACUGAAUUUUCCUGAACUACAUUUGCUAAUAUUUUACAAAAUGUAUUGAACUGUUCUGAUUUUUACUAUUUGCCAUUAUGACAGCUUUGGAAAGAACUAAUUCAUUAAAGUAGUCCACUGUUGUCAUAUAAUUUUUUUAACUUCUUUAACACUGAACUGCUUGCUCGGGUAACUGUGAAAAGUAAUAAUUACAAGCCAACAUUUGUAAAAUACAGCAUAUGAGUUUUUAAUGAGGUAUGUGUCCUAUACCAUAUUUCUGCAAGUGUCUGACUACAAAAGCACAAGAUAAAUGCAGACACAGUGAUAUUCCUUUUUGUGCAAUCUUUAGAAAACAUUGUGUGAUAAACCUCAUAUGAGUUUAUGAGUGCUUUACUCUCUGACUCUGGAGGUACUAAUUCCUAUGGAAGCGAGUAAAAGUUGACUGCGCUCAGUCGCUAUGAUUAAGCACAUCUUUACCUGUUCCAGUUGAAAGUCAUAGCAGGAACCUCUAAACUGCGUGUAUAGAAGUCUGAUCUGUGACUCUUUUCAAGGCUAUAUUUUUUUUCAUUUUCAGAUUGUUUUCCCUAAUCCAGAGACUUUAUUAAAUAAUCAUGUGCAAGGUGAAGAUCACAAAUGUAUUCUAUUAAAAGGAGAAAAAACAUUCCUCAUUAGGAAGAGCAGAUGCAUCCCAGCUAAGAGGUUUGAGGAUUAUAGAUUCAUUCAAGAAUUUUCCUUUUUUUCCAGUAUAUUGGCACUUUUUGAAGAGUGUUUCGGAGGGAGCAAGAAUAAAUAAAGAUCCUUCAGGCACUUUCUCAUUUAUGGAUGAGGAAUCAAAGCAGUCUGAAACUUCAUUUUCAGCCUGAUACCCUGAAGAUUGUUGGCUGAUAAUUCUGGAUGGAACAGCUUAUCU